AGCCAAUAGCUUUAACACCUUCUUGUUUUACUUUUAGAUCUACUCUCUGAUUCAUCCUAUUCUAGUAAUGAGAGUUUCUAAAAGCGUUCUCAAGUUCUCUUGAGUAUUCCUUAGUUCUACUGCUUGUUGAUGAAUAUUGUUUGCAAGAUUUUCAGUACGAACUAAUUUCUUUUCAAUAUCUACUAGAUAUUGUUUUUCCUUGAGGUAAUUUAGCUUGAUUUCAAGCUUGCCAAUUUUUGAGUUUAUUUCCUCAAGUUGAUUAAUCCGUAGUUUAAAUCUCUCGAGUUGCUCUGUAACCCUUUCAGAGGUCUUAUUCUUAGAUAAAUGAUCUAAGAACUCGAUUAAGCUUGGUCUUGAGGGAUCAAGCUCUUCUACUCCGAUCUCCUGUUGGAGAUGAAUAUGCUCGUCGUAUAGAGUAUUUAGUACUCUACAAAUAUAUUCAAUGGAGUAUUGAUUUUCUUGUAUAUGCCUUGAAUGAAAGCACACUUCCCACUUAUCAGUUCCUUUGUAGUACAAAAAGACUGAUAGUUUUUCAGUUUGGAUUCUCUUUUGUUGGUUGAGAGAAGCCAACUCUGUGGCAUAAGCCUUUUGUCACCUGCUUUUGAGCCAAGCAGGCUCUGAUACCAGCUAGAACGGAUCUAACCGAUGCUCAAAAUAUCAAGAGGUUUUUAGUCUUCUUCAAAAGUUUCUUGAAGAACUUCAAUUUCUUCUCUUGACUCGUAUAUCCUUCGUUGUAGUUGAAAGAUAAUAUCCCAAUAAUUUUUGGUACUUCUUGGAAGCUUGUCUAUUUUUUCUUUUAGUUUUCUCAAAUUUCUUCUUUCUUCUUGUAGUUCUUUAUAGGAUAAUUUAGCUUCUGCUAAAAAUUCUAAUCUUGUACCUGUAGCAAUUGAGUUAUUGAAAAAAAUUAACUGCUUACCCUUGAGUGAAGAGGAUAGAUCUAUAUUUGUACUUAAGUAAACAAAUUCAUACUUAUAGGCCCACCAUGCUCCGUCUAAAAGUUUUUUUUUUUUUUUUUUUUUUUACUUGUAACACACAGACUAAAGAUAAAACUAAAAGGGUAAAAACUGGCUAAAGGGGUUUUCCGGUUGGAUUUUCUGCAAUAAUGCUAGAUGACCUCAGCUAUCUUGUCUUCUAGUGAGAUCUGCAUGGUAUGCAGUGCUGCACACUAGAAUUUUCCUAACUUAAUAGCAAAAUAUAGCUGAGUGUUUGAUAAACUGACUUUUAAUAAGUGCGG
This 1234-nucleotide long non-coding RNA is filed under the name Fragaria vesca (wild strawberry). Its description in RNAcentral is "long non-coding RNA (FVES_LNC001390)". Lineage: Eukaryota; Viridiplantae; Streptophyta; Magnoliopsida; Rosales; Rosaceae. The record is from RNAcentral.